AGUUAAAGAUGUCGUCAUUCAGAUUUUACGCAGUUGUCGCCCUUGUGUGCGUCUUCUUGGUCAUCCAGACCAGCGCUGAGGCUCAAGACUUCGACAAGAGUCAGAUUACCGAAGAAACCUUUGCGAACCUGAGGCAGAGGAGAGAUGCUGGCCAGAUCAAUGAGGAGGACUUCAACACAUAUUCCGAUCAUCUCAGAAAGAUAAUGAAGUGAGAAGUACUCCUCCACUACCGGAUUGAAGUCAAAUGGACAAACGGUGACGCCACAAAA
Haliotis rubra (blacklip abalone) is the source of this 269-nucleotide long non-coding RNA. RefSeq lists it as uncharacterized. The transcript has 4 exons. The record is from RefSeq and is a predicted model, not a curated record. Lineage: Eukaryota; Metazoa; Mollusca; Gastropoda; Lepetellida; Haliotidae.